RNAcentral lists this ribosomal RNA (253 nucleotides) under uncultured bacterium. RNAcentral's name for it is "partial 16S ribosomal RNA". It matches the Rfam family "Bacterial small subunit ribosomal RNA", at positions 524 to 776 of the family's 1533-position model. The record is from RNAcentral.
UACGAAGGGGGCUAGCGUUGCUCGGAUUUACUGGGCGUAAAGGGCGCGUAGGCGGACAGUUAAGUUGGGGGUGAAAGCCCAGGGCUCAACCUCGGAACUGCCUUCAAUACUGGCUGUCUUGAGUGUGAGAGAGGUGUGUGGAACUCCGAGUGUAGAGGUGAAAUUCGUAGAUAUUCGGAAGAACACCAGUGGCGAAGGCGACACACUGGCGCACUACUGACGCUGAGGCGCGAAAGCGUGGGGAGCAAACAGG